RNAcentral lists this ribosomal RNA (487 nucleotides) under uncultured delta proteobacterium. RNAcentral describes it as "bacterial SSU rRNA". It matches the Rfam family "Bacterial small subunit ribosomal RNA", at positions 1 to 500 of the family's 1533-position model. Lineage: Bacteria; Deltaproteobacteria. The record is from RNAcentral.
CGGAAUUAGGCUUGGAUCCGGGCUCAGAGUGAACGCUGGCGGCGUGCUUAACACAUGCAAGUCGAACGAGGAAAAGGCUUCGGCCUGAGUACAGUGGCGCACGGGUGAGUAACACGUGAAUAACGUACCCUUGGAGUGGGGGAAUAACGUUCCGAAAGGAGCGCUAAUGCCGCAUAAGACCACGACCUCGCAUGAGGGUGGGGUCAAAGCCUUCGGGUGCUUAAGGAUCGGUUCGCGGCCCAUUAGGUAGUUGGUAGGGUAAUGGCUUACCAAGCCGAAGAUGGGUAGCUGGUCUGAGAGGAUGAUCAGCCACAUUGGGACUGAGACACGGCUCAAACUCCUAAGGGAGGCAGCAGUGGGGAAUCUUGCGCAAUGGACGGAAGUCUGACGCAGCAACGCCGCGUGAGUGAUGAAGGCCCUCGGGUCGUAAAGCUCUGUCAGAAGGGAAGAACACAAUGACGGUACGGUCAAAGGAAGCACCGGGCUA